AGAGUUUGAUCCUGGCUCAGGAUGAACGCUGGCGGCGUGCUUAACACAUGCAAGUCGAACGGAGUUUUAACGGAAGUUUCGGAUGGAAGUUAGAACUUAGUGGCGGACGGGUGAGUAACGCGUGGGUAACCUGCCUCAGUACAGGGGGAUAACAGUUAGAAAUGACUGCUAACACCGCAUAAUAUAGCGAAACCGCAUGAUUUUGCUAUCAAAUAUUUAUAGGUAUGAGAUGGGCCCGCGUCUGAUUAGCUAGUUGGUGGGGUAAAAGCCUACCAAGGCGACGAUCAGUAGCCGGCUUGAGAGAGUGACCGGCCACAUUGGGACUGAGACACGGCCCAAACUCCUACGGGAGGCAGCAGUGGGGAAUAUUGGACAAUGGGGGAAACCCUGAUCCAGCGACGCCCGCGUGAGUGAAGAAGUAUUUCGGUAUGUAAAGCUCUAUCAGCAGGGAAGAUAAUGACAGUACCUGACUAAGAAGCCCCGGCUAACUACGUGCCAGCAGCUGC
This 506-nucleotide ribosomal RNA is filed under the name uncultured bacterium. RNAcentral's name for it is "bacterial SSU rRNA". It matches the Rfam family "Bacterial small subunit ribosomal RNA", at positions 8 to 518 of the family's 1533-position model. The record is from RNAcentral.